Molecule: long non-coding RNA, 1537 nt
Organism: Gorilla gorilla gorilla (western lowland gorilla)
Lineage: Eukaryota; Metazoa; Chordata; Mammalia; Primates; Hominidae
Exons: 5
Source: RefSeq, a predicted model, not a curated record
GCUCUUCAGGGUGGUGCACUAUUCCCAGAUUUUCUCUGGAAGCUGUGUUCCAUCACCUUUCUCAGACUUCCCCACACUCCCCCUCAGGACAUCAGAGGGACGGCCCCCGAAUUCAUUCUUGCAGCAAAGAGCCUCAAGACACUGCUCAGACCAGGAAAUGAGGGACCUGUUCCUACAAAUUGCUGUCAAAAUGUAUUCUUAAUAUUUGUUCUCUGGAGUCACUGUUUUGGUGACCUCAGUCCCUGGAGGCUCCUCCUGGGGGCGAUAGGAUGCCUUCAGAGGGGAGCUGACAGCCCUGUGUUGUGUCUGGGCUCGCGGGAGGCCAUCGCUGUCUCCAUUGGAGCCAGAUGUUUUCCCAGCCCUUAACCUGCUGUGGUUUCUUAGCUCAACGUCUCCAGUGCGACUCUCCCACAACACCCAGCGCCAUCUUGUAGACGCGCUGAUGCUUCCGGACCGCGGGCGCCCCACCGGGAAGAGCGCUCCACGCUGAAGAGGAAGGAAACUUCACACUUAAUUCAUCAAAUUCAAACUGAGCUGUGGUGAAAGGAACGGGGCGGAGUGAAAGGAACACCCACAUGCCCCAGAAGACCCCGGGGCAUCGCUGCCUUUCAGCUUCUUUUGCGCUUUCUGCAGCUCGUGUCACAUUCCAAGGACACUCAGCUCUGCGCACAUGCACAGAGGGCCGCGUCUGUCCCGGGGGCGUGUUACCUAAAACCAGGCGCUGACCUCCAGGUUAUGGGUUCUUCUGGAGUCUUCUGAACCUGCCGGGCAUUUCUGACUGGAUGAAAAUUAACAAAAGUCCACGUUCAUCCUGAUGAAAAUUAGCAGCAGUUCAUCUUAGUUUAAUUGCCACAACGUGCAGCUAUGAGAAAUUAGGCAAAGUGACAAGACUGAAUCCUCAGGAAAUAUACUUAAUUCUCCUUAUUGGUGUUGCCUCUGAGGACAUGCUGUGAUGUGAUGGUCCUUUAGGAAGGGGGAAACAGCAAGUGGAGAAGAAGCUUCCUUUUUAAUGACACGACCUGGAAGUUGCAAAUAUGUCUUCAACUCACAUCCAAUUGGCCAGAGCCUAGCUGCAAGAGAAGCUGGAAACAUCUCUAGCUGUGUGGCCAUAUUCUGCGGCUUCUGCACUUUCUUUCAUGAGAAGGAAUGAGAUUGGAACUAUAAGGCCUGAUAAAAUUUGGAAGUCAUCAUUUAUUUAACAAUCACCAGGCAGAUAUGAAGAGGAAGGGGGACUUGGGCAGAUAUUUCGGACAGCCAGGCAAAGUCAGACAUUCUUGGAACUGAUGCAAUCUAGGUUUCAGAAGAGAUUGUAAAGCCCCGAAGACCUUUAUCUGUUCCACAGUGAUGCACUGGGGAGGACACCAGCCAAACAAUGGCAUCUGUGGCCCCUGGUGGAUUGAUACUUAAAGGCCAGCUAAAGCGGGAAACACUUUCCCAAGAUAGCUGGACUGCCUUCACUUGGAGAUCUGACCACUUUGUAGAAUUUCAAGAAAACUCUCAUGGAAUCAUGGAAUAAAGAUGUCAGCCAAAAGCCCUA